Molecule: ribosomal RNA, 200 nt
Filed under: Klebsiella pneumoniae
Lineage: Bacteria; Pseudomonadati; Pseudomonadota; Gammaproteobacteria; Enterobacterales; Enterobacteriaceae
Description: partial 23S ribosomal RNA
Rfam family: Bacterial large subunit ribosomal RNA
Source: RNAcentral
UCAGAGGCGAUGAAGGACGUGCUAAUCUGCGAAAAGCGUCGGUAAGGUGAUAUGAACCGUUAUAACCGGCGAUGUCCGAAUGGGGAAACCCAGUGCAAUUCGUUGCACUAUCGUUAACUGAAUACAUAGGUUAACGAGGCGAACCGGGGGAACUGAAACAUCUAAGUACCCCGAGGAAAAGAAAUCAACCGAGAUUCCCC